UUUCCGUAGGUGAACCUGCGGAAGGCUCCUUAAAGACUUUGCCCCGUCCUCUCGAGGAUGGGUCCUCUUCUAAACCGUGUCUCCAUACCUUUGUUGCUUUGGCCGACCGCUGUCCCAGAACCAACUAACAAUGACUGUGCCCGCCAGAGAAGCCCGACGCUGCUGUUUAGUAUUUUCUGAGUGCGCUAUGUUGUUUAGGACUUUCAACAACGGAUCUCUUUGGUCUGGCAUCGAUGAAGAACUCGGCACAUGUGUAGACCACACCACUGAACUCCAGUC
RNAcentral lists this unclassified non-coding RNA (279 nucleotides) under plant metagenome. RNAcentral's name for it is "partial contains internal transcribed spacer 1 and 5.8S ribosomal RNA". The record is from RNAcentral.